Esox lucius (northern pike) is the source of this 332-nucleotide long non-coding RNA. NCBI's taxonomy places the organism in Eukaryota, Metazoa, Chordata, Actinopteri, Esociformes, Esocidae. The record is from Ensembl.
GUCAGGCUGUGUGGGCAUCAGGUCCAUGUGGUCAGGCUGUGUGGGCAUCAGGUCCAUGUGGUCAGGUCCAUGUGGUCAGGUUCACGGCUGGGUCAGGCCCUGGACAGAAGGUGGAAGCUGACAGUCGGAGGGAUUCGAUGAGGCUGACAGGACAGUCUCGUCAAGACUUUGUCUGGUCCAGAUUGUGGCUUGUGUGUCACUGUGGCUCAUCCUUUACGUGUCUCAUCCUUUACUUGUCUCAUCCGUGACUUUAUCUCAUCCGUGACUUGUCUCAUCCGUGACUUUAUCUCAGCCAGAAUGGGAGCUGUUUCUAUAUUCCCAUUAAGUGAGUA